RNAcentral lists this ribosomal RNA (497 nucleotides) under uncultured bacterium. RNAcentral's name for it is "partial 16S ribosomal RNA". It matches the Rfam family "Bacterial small subunit ribosomal RNA", at positions 28 to 507 of the family's 1533-position model. The record is from RNAcentral.
GAUGAACGCUGGCGGCGUGCCUAAUACAUGCAAGUCGAGCGAACGGACGAGAAGCUUGCUUCUCUGAUGUUAGCGGCGGACGGGUGAGUAACACGUGGAUAACCUACCUAUAAGACUGGGAUAACUUCGGGAAACCGGAGCUAAUACCGGAUGAUAUUUUGAACCGCAUGGUCCAAAAGUGAAAGACGGUCUUGCUGUCACUUAUAGAUGGAUCCGCGCUGCAUUAGCUAGUUGGUAAGGUAACGGCUUACCAAGGCAACGAUGCAUAGCCGACCUGAGAGGGUGAUCGGCCACACGGGAACGGAGACACGGUCCAGACUCCUACGGGAGGCAGCAGUAGGGAAUCUUCCGCAAUGGGCGAAAGCCUGACGGAGCAACGCCGCGUGAGUGAUGAAGGUCUUCGGAUCGUAAAACUCUGUUAUUAGGGAAGAACAUAUGUGUAAGUAACUGUGCACAUCUUGACGGUACCUAAUCAGAAAGCCACGGCUAACUACGUG